Molecule: non-coding RNA, 148 nt
Filed under: Chlorocebus sabaeus (green monkey)
Lineage: Eukaryota; Metazoa; Chordata; Mammalia; Primates; Cercopithecidae
Source: Rfam by way of RNAcentral
GCUGGGUGUGGUGGCGCACACCUGUAAUCCCAGCUACUCAGGAGGCUGAGGCAGGAGAAUUGCUUGAACUCAGGAGGCAGAGGCUGCCGUGAGCUGAGAUCACGCCACUGCACUCCGGCCUGAGCAACAGAUUGAGACUCUGUCUCAA